GAUGAACGCUGGCGGCGUGCCUAAUACAUGCAAGUCGAGCGAACGGACGAGAAGCUUGCUUCUCUGAUGUUAGCGGCGGACGGGUGAGUAACACGUGGAUAACCUACCUAUAAGACUGGGAUAACUUCGGGAAACCGGAGCUAAUACCGGAUGAUAUUUUGAACCGCAUGGUUCAAAAGUGAAAGACGGUCUUGCUGUCACUUAUAGAUGGAUCCGCGCUGCAUUAGCUAGUUGGUAAGGUAACGGCUUACCAAGGCAACGAUGCAUAGCCGACCUGGGAGGGUGAUCGGCCACACUGGAACUGAGACACGGUCCAGACUCCUACGGGAGGCAGCAGUAGGGAAUCUUCCGCAAAGGGCGAAAGCCUGACGGAGCAACGCCGCGUGAGUGAUGAAGGUCUUCGGAUCGUAAAACUCUGUUAUUAGGGAAGAACAUAUGUGUAAGUAACUGUGCACAUCUUGACGGUACCUAAUCAGAAAGCCACGGCUAACUACGUG
This 497-nucleotide ribosomal RNA is filed under the name uncultured bacterium. RNAcentral's name for it is "partial 16S ribosomal RNA". It matches the Rfam family "Bacterial small subunit ribosomal RNA", at positions 28 to 507 of the family's 1533-position model. The record is from RNAcentral.